This 368-nucleotide ribosomal RNA is filed under the name uncultured organism. Its description in RNAcentral is "bacterial SSU rRNA". It matches the Rfam family "Bacterial small subunit ribosomal RNA", at positions 526 to 896 of the family's 1533-position model. The record is from RNAcentral.
CGUAGGUGGCAAGCGUUGUCCGGAUUUAUUGGGUUUAAGGGGUGCGUAGGCGGCUUUGUAAGUCAGUGGUGAAAUACUCCAGCUCAACUGGAGAGGUGCCAUUGAUACUGCAGAGCUAGAGUACUGAUGAGGUAGGCGGAAUGGACGGUGUAGCGGUGAAAUGCUUAGAUAUCGUCCAGAACACCGAUAGCGAAGGCAGCUUACUAAAGAGUAACUGACGCUGAGGCACGAAAGUGUGGGGAUCAAACAGGAUUAGAUACCCUGGUAGUCCACACUGUAAACGUUGAUCACUAGAUGUUGGCGAUACACUGCCAGCGUUCCAGCAAAAGCGAUAAGUGAUCCACCUGGGGAGUACGCCCGCAAGGGUG